CAUUUUCCUGCCCGGAAGGAUGCAUGGCCCGGGGUCUCCUGCACCUGAGGGUGGGCGGGAGGCGGCCCCGCGGGUUGUGUUGCUGGAAAAAGGGGUCUCGAUCCAGACCCCAAGAGAGGGUUCUUGGGUCUACUUCAGGGAAGAAUUGGAGGCGAGUCACAGAGCGCAGUGAAGGAAGCAAGUUUAUUGGAAUCUACUCCGUUAGAGAGUGCAAGUCCUCAGACUGCAGGAGGAGGAACUCCCGUCCUUCGGUAGUGUCACUACUUAGAGGCAGCUGUGAGGAGCUGUGAUUAAUCGUGGAAUGUGCUGAUGUGCCCACUAAAGAUGCCUGGUAAGCAGUGGCUCCUCUAACAAGUGGGCAGCUUGGAACUGGGAACGAGAGAGCCACCGAAACAGAAUGAGGGAGACAAAGAAGUGGGCAUCACCCUUAACUCCACAAGGGCUUCCCAAGGGCGCUGUACCGUACGCAGGCCCAGGACGAACUUUAUUUCUCGCCCCAGCAUCGCUGUCCUUGUCGGUGAGACCCUGGCUUUAGGGCAGACAGGACCACGUUUCAUAAGUUCAUGCUGUCCCAGCAGAGGAAUAACGCCAGAAAGUGUUCCAGUACAACCAGAGAAAGAGAGUCCAUGAGAAAUCUGCCCUUGUGAAGUUGGAAUCCCCUCAACCUCACCCCGCUGACUUGAAUGAAGCGACUGAGACGGGCUAUGAUGGAGCAGAUCCGGUUGCUCGACCUUCUCCCUUGCACCAACACAUGUAGUUAAUAGUUACUGGACAUGCAUAUUCAGUGGGUUCCAGGUACCAAACUUGUAUUGAAUGGUAUGUGCCAGACACCGUCUUGAGAUCUGGAGAAUAAAAAAAUAAAAAAAUAAAAACGAGACAUCCAGAGCACAGUCAGAGCUUUGCCCUUGGAGUCCAGGCUGGAGUGCAAUGAUGAAAUCUCAGCUGACUGCAACUUCUGCCUCCCGGGUUCAAGUGAUUCUCCUGCCUCAGCCUCCCAAGUAACUGAGAUUACAGGUGCCCACACCCGGGUAAUUUUUGUAUUUUUAGUAGAGACAGGGUUUCUCCAUGUCGGUCAGGCUGGUCUCGAACUCCUGACCUCAGGUGAUCCACCUACCUCAGCCUCCCAAAGUGCUGGGGUUACAGGCAUGAGCCACCGUGCCCGGCCACCAUUCUAAUUUCUUAAUCUUGUCUUCUUUCUCUGGCUUCAGUGGUAGAUAUUUAUUAACCAGUUUAAACAUGAGUCAUUAUUUAUAUCAAAUGUUUGGAUGUAUAACGUAAAAUGAACCUUAAUCUCUGUCAAAAAAGAUACUACUGGGAGCAUCGUUUGGCUGGGAGUCAAGAUGAGAUUGAGCUACUUUAUGGGUGUGGAAUGCCAAGUCAGAGAGAUUUGAAUAAGUAACACUUCAGCAAUAUGAGAUCUGGACAGCAUCCAGGAGCCAAGGUCCAAGAUGCUAAUAGGAGUGAUGUAGCUGUCCCUGAACAAAGGUUUGCCACAGUUUACGAGCCUCAGAGGUUAAGAUGCAAACCAGAACAAUGCUAUUGGAUGUGCAAUCCAUGAUGUUUCAUGGGGAGGUGGGUAGAUUUGGGCAACCUUGCCUUCAGUUUACUCCUACUAGCAUCAGGCUCUGUCCACCUGAUCAGCAGAGGCUAUAUGGUUCUAUUUUGUGAAAAGAUCAAGUUGGAAAUGGAGGAGUAGAGGAGAAGGUUGGAAAUCAGAAUCCUCCCACAUGUAUUCUUCCCUCCAUUGAGACAUUUUAUUUGUAUAUAUUUAUUCCUGAAAAAAAAAAAAAAAAAAGAGUCCCAGGAUUUUUUCUCCUGUGUUUUUGUCUUGUUUCUUCUCGGUCCAUGAUGCCAGUUGAGGUCAUCAGUACAGCGAAACCAAACUGGUGAGAUGGGAACAAAUUAUUCUGUCACUUUUCUAGAUCUUUUUAUUUAUUUUUUUAUUUAUUUUUUGAGAUGGAGUCUCGCUCUUGUUGCCCAGUCUGGAGUGCAAUGGCGAGCCUGGGUUCAAGACCAGCCUGGGUAACAUGGCGAAACCCCUUCUCUACCAAAAAAAUACAGUAUUUAGCUGGGCCUGGUGCAUGCCUGUAGUCCCAGCUACCUGAGAGGCUGAGGUGGGAAGAUCGCUUGAGCCCAGGAGGUCAAGGCUGCAAUGGGCUGAGAUCACGCCACUCCAGCCUAGGCAACAGAGUGAGGCCUUGUCAAAAAAAAAAAAGAGAGAGAGAGAGAUACAAGCCUUCAGAGACCCUCAUAUUAACUUCAUGGUAAAUCUGCCUCUGCUCACCCCUCCCACCUGUAGCAACUAAUAUCUUCAUUUCCAGAUUUACUCUGAAAAAACUGUGCAACUGCUUCACAUGUUUCCUCUUGAUUCACUAAUUUGUAACUCACUUACUGAAACUCUGAUGAAAGAAUUGAGUCAAAAAAUAAAUAGACCUCCUUCCCAGCCCUGGCUUGUUCAGAGCAUCUACUACAGAGGAGUCUUAAGGGUUUUGUAUGCUUAGAGUUGAGAGACCAAAUAGCUCCUGAAAACUGUAGCUAGAGGAAAUGCCAUAUGGAGACAGGCCACAAGGAGAACUCAAGCCCCUGUAAACCAAAAAUGAAAUAUUCUAAGCCCCCAAUUUACUAAACAGAUUCAACCUCCCACUUCAGCCUCCCAAAUAGCUGGGAUUACAGGCGCAUGCAACCAUGCCCGGCAAAUUUUUGUGUUUUUUGUAGAGAUGGGGUUUCGCCAUGUUGGCCAGGCUGGUCUUGAACUCCUGACUUCAAGUGAUCUGUCCACCUCACCCUCCCAAAGUGCUGGGAUUAGUGAGCCACUGCAACAGCCCUCUAACACUUAUUUCUGAAGUUUUUUUUCUUCCCUCCUUCUCGGAAGCCCCUUCCUCCCUCUCUUGUUGCCUUAAGGUACCUUCACCCUGGCUAGGCCCUAUUGUUCUUUUAUCGGUUUUUUGUUUGUUUCUUUAGCCUACAUAUGCUCUUCCACCUGGGUUAUACAAAUGCAAAGUACACCCUAGUUCCAUGCUGGGCCUUAUUAUUAACAAGAACUUUCUGAAUCUCUUAAGAUGUAGUGAAAGCAGAUAUACAUAAACUAUGUUGAAC
RNAcentral lists this long non-coding RNA (3096 nucleotides) under Homo sapiens (human). Its description in RNAcentral is "HSALNT0021519". Lineage: Eukaryota; Metazoa; Chordata; Mammalia; Primates; Hominidae. The record is from RNAcentral.